AAAGUUUUGGUGAUGAGACAUUCAGGAAGAUCUAUCAAUAAAUAGCAAACCUGGUCCUUUUUAAGACACUGUGCAUAAAAAAAUUCCAAAAAGAUUAAAAUCAGUGCAGAAACCAAAGAACCAUUUUUUUCUAUAUCAUAUUGAUCAUUUCAAGUGGAACUGUUAGCUAUCUUAGAAAAAUUGUGGUUCUCAAUUGCUUUUGCCUCUAUCUCUGAACCACCAUUCCUAAAGGAAAACAUUCAACCAGAAAAUUUCAGCACAUCACAAUCUCUCUGAAGAUUAAGAAGUCUCUGUGAAGGACUGAAUGUAUAAAUUGAAAAAUUUUUGCUGUCACAUUUAGGUAAAAGAGAAAUCGUUCUUCAUAUCCCCUUCCUUUCCAUCUGUAGCUCACCUAUGUCAACUUUCCUCUCAGAAGUGAAAUAAAAUUAAAGCUAUGACACUGAGUGUCAGUCAUGGAGGGACACGUUCCCCACUUAGCCUUUGCUGAAGUGUUUCCAGAGACAACUGUCUAAUGCCAGGUCCCCACUUAGUGGGCUGCACUUUUCUACUCAUUUGCACAUAAUCCAGAAGUCACAUUUUGGGUUCACAGUUUCCACUGGGGUAACCUCAUUAGGCCUGGCCACCUCUGUGCUUCUUGUGAAGUCUCUGAUUUGAAGGAUUAGUAUCCUUUCCAGACUGUGUGGGUUGACUUUCACCCAUCUGGAGUUGCUUGGAACAAAAAUAACUACCUCAACUCCUUGUCACGAAAGCAAAAAAAAAAGAUAGCAUUAGAGUUCUGAGAACAGGAUGUCAUUACGGGUUGUGCCUUGUCAGCUACAGGUAAGAUAUUUGAGUGGCUCCUCAAGCCUCCCCAACUCCCUCUCCGACCUCACUACACAGUCUUCCCAGGUCUGGUAUUUGACCUCCAGACUGCCGCCCAGAAAGCAACUCAGAGCUCAGCAACACCAUGAUGAUGAAACACAAAUAUCUGGGCCCCCAACUUUGGAGACUCCACUGGUUGCUUUUGUGCAGCUCUUUCUAUAUAUGACUUUCAAAAUAGCAGCCAACCCUCUCAACUGUUGGUUGAUCUGAAUAUGUAAAGUUCAGCCUUCAAAUCCAGCAAACAGUCAGCUAUAGGAUAGAGUUCAGGUGCUGGGGAAUGACCACGGUUGGCUGCUACGUUGGGAACCCUGGUGACAUCAUAUAUGGACCUGGGAAUGUAAAGAAACAUAGGAAAUCUGAAUUUAUGACUUUUCUAAUCUAUCGGGAUCCUUUUUUGGAAUCAAGAUGAUUUUCCUUCUAAAAGGUCAUUUUAUUACAGUAAUGGGCAGGGUAGACAUACCUCACUAGCAUACUCUCAAAAUUUCUUGCAUGCAUAUGCUUUCUCCGGCAUGCAUAUGCUUUCUACUACAAUGUGAACAAGCCUACGAAAGCUAGCCUAAUGGAGGAUGAGAGACCACGUGGAGGAGAGCUGAAGUGCCCCAGCCAGCAGCUAGCCUACACCCACAGCUAUUUUGCCUGUGUUCCACUUGUCCUAUUUGCAUAAUAUUGUUCUUUAAGUUAACCCAUUCUUAAUUUAUUGUUUUAAUCUUAAGCAAUAAUAUUCAAGAACUAAUGAGUUUUGUGUAUUCGUUAUAUUUUUCCAUAAUAUAUAUUAUACUAAUAAAUGCCCAUUCAAAUUUU
Molecule: long non-coding RNA, 1662 nt
Filed under: Pan troglodytes (chimpanzee)
Lineage: Eukaryota; Metazoa; Chordata; Mammalia; Primates; Hominidae
Description: lincRNA
Source: RNAcentral